This 1102-nucleotide long non-coding RNA is filed under the name Parus major (Great Tit). RNAcentral's name for it is "lncRNA (ENSPMJG00000007000.1)". Lineage: Eukaryota; Metazoa; Chordata; Aves; Passeriformes; Paridae. The record is from RNAcentral.
CCAGGGGAUCACCAUGGGCACAGUACUCACCAGAGGAUCAGUGAGCACGGGGAUGAAGGCUCCCCACAGCAUUUGAAUGCUGCCAAAAUAAUUUCAGUAGAAUUUAGCCUCUGUGAAAAUUGUUCAGGAAUAAGAGAAUAUUAUUUACAAAACUUAUGUCAAAUCCUUUAGACUUUGCCUGCCCCAGCUGCUGUGUUUAGAUUAGGCUUGGAAACAAGGUGUGGUAAAAAGGAUCUAAAUAUCACUAUUAUGUGAAUAAAUACUGAGAAUUGUAAAGAACUGAGUAAGAUGCAAAGACUGGAGGGUGCCAAAACAACUAAUGACACUUUAUUGAAAGGAAUGUCUCAUAGAAAGUCCAAGGGACGACUUCUACAAACAGUGGCCCGUAGCCAGUCCCUGUGACUCAGCCGUGCCAGGCCACGGGCCACCAAGGGCCAGCAGCGGCCACAUCUCCCGCAGGAGCCAUCAGUCGGUGCCGCUCCGCAGCACGGGAAACGGGGAGCGGGGCUGGCCCGGCUCCGGAGCGGGGCGAGCUGCGGGCACCCUGAGCCCGGCUCCCCGCGUCCCGGGACACGGCCCGGAACGGGCGGGGGCACCGGGCAGGGCACCGGAACGGCGGCACCGGGGUGGGGCACCCGCACUGCCCGUCCUGCCCCGGCACCACGGCAGCGCUGGCUGCGGGACCCCCGGGCAGGGAGGGGACCCGCGGUGAUCCCGGUUCCGAUGCCGGUUCCGGGCCGGGAGGGCACGCGCGGUGAUCCCGAUCCCGGUUCCGAUCCCGAUCCCGGUUCCGAUCCCGGUUCCGGGCCGGGAGGGCACGCGCGGUGAUCCCGAUCCCGGUCCGAUCCCGAUCCCGGUUCCGAGCCAGGGCGGUUCUGAUCCCGAUCCCGAUCCCGAUCCCGGUUCCGAGCCAGGGCGGUUCUGAUCCCGAUCCCGAUCCCGGUCCCGAUCCCGGUCCCGAUCCCAAUCCCGGUUCCGAUCCCGAUCCCGGUUCCGAUCCCGGUUCCGAUGCCGGUUCCGAUGCCGGUUCCGGGCCGGGAGGGCACGCGCGGUGAUCCCGAGCGCGGCGCGGCCCCGCGGAGGGCGGGGUCACACAUGCAGG